AACGAACGCUGGCGGCAGGCUUAACACAUGCAAGUCGAGCGGGCCCUUCGGGGUCAGCGGCAGACGGGUGAGUAACACGUGGGAACGUACCUUUUGGUUCGGAACAACUCCGGGAAACUGGAGCUAAUACCGGAUAAGCCCUUAGGGGGAAAGAUUUAUCGCCAAAAGAUCGGCCCGCGUCUGAUUAGCUAGUUGGUGGGGUAACGGCCCACCAAGGCGACGAUCAGUAGCUGGUCUGAGAGGAUGAUCAGCCACACUGGGACUGAGACACGGCCCAGACUCCUACGGGAGGCAGCAGUGGGGAAUAUUGGACAAUGGGCGCAAGCCUGAUCCAGCCAUGCCGCGUGAGUGCUGAAGGCCUUAGGGUUGUAAAGCUCUUUUGUCCGGGAAGAUAAUGACUGUACCGGAAGAAUAAGCCCCGGCUAACUUCGUG
RNAcentral lists this ribosomal RNA (433 nucleotides) under uncultured bacterium. RNAcentral describes it as "partial 16S ribosomal RNA". It matches the Rfam family "Bacterial small subunit ribosomal RNA", at positions 29 to 507 of the family's 1533-position model. The record is from RNAcentral.